RNAcentral lists this ribosomal RNA (542 nucleotides) under Fusarium sp. NFT 02. RNAcentral describes it as "eukaryotic LSU rRNA". The stretch from base 183 to 336 matches the Rfam family "5.8S ribosomal RNA". Lineage: Eukaryota; Fungi; Ascomycota; Sordariomycetes; Hypocreales; Nectriaceae. The record is from RNAcentral.
UAGUCUCGUUGGUGACCAGCGGAGGGAUCAUUACCGAGUUUACAACUCCCAAACCCCUGUGAACAUACCUAUACGUUGCCUCGGCGGAUCAGCCCGCGCCCCGUAAAACGGGACGGCCCGCCCGAGGACCCCUAAACUCUGUUUUUAGUGGAACUUCUGAGUAAAACAAACAAAUAAAUCAAAACUUUCAACAACGGAUCUCUUGGUUCUGGCAUCGAUGAAGAACGCAGCAAAAUGCGAUAAGUAAUGUGAAUUGCAGAAUUCAGUGAAUCAUCGAAUCUUUGAACGCACAUUGCGCCCGCCAGUAUUCUGGCGGGCAUGCCUGUUCGAGCGUCAUUUCAACCCUCAAGCUCAGCUUGGUGUUGGGACUCGCGGUAACCCGCGUUCCCCAAAUCGAUUGGCGGUCACGUCGAGCUUCCAUAGCGUAGUAAUCAUACACCUCGUUACUGGUAAUCGUCGCGGCCACGCCGUUAAACCCCAACUUCUGAAUGUUGACCUCGGAUCAGGGUAGGAAUACCCGCUGAACUUAAGCAUAUCAUAAA